RNAcentral lists this ribosomal RNA (18 nucleotides) under Rubia sylvatica. RNAcentral's name for it is "partial 5.8S ribosomal RNA". Lineage: Eukaryota; Viridiplantae; Streptophyta; Magnoliopsida; Gentianales; Rubiaceae. The record is from RNAcentral.
CCCCUCCUCCCCGUCCUC